This 684-nucleotide ribosomal RNA is filed under the name Clostridioides difficile. RNAcentral describes it as "bacterial LSU rRNA". It matches the Rfam family "Bacterial large subunit ribosomal RNA", at positions 2239 to 2925 of the family's 2925-position model. The record is from RNAcentral. Lineage: Bacteria; Bacillati; Bacillota; Clostridia; Peptostreptococcales; Peptostreptococcaceae.
UCUGGUCUUGGGACACUGUCAGGUGGGCAGUUUGACUGGGGCGGUCGCCUCCCAAAAGGUAACGGAGGCGCUCAAAGGUUCUCUCAGUACGGUCGGCAAUCGUACGUAGAGUGUAAAGGCAAAAGAGAGCUUGAUUGCAAGACAUACAGGUCGAGCAAGGAUGAAAAUCGGACUUAGUGAUCCGGUGGUUCUGCGUGGAAGGGCCAUCGCUCAACGGAUAAAAGCUACCCUGGGGAUAACAGGCUUAUCUCCCCCAAGAGUCCACAUCGACGGGGAGGUUUGGCACCUCGAUGUCGGCUCAUCACAUCCUGGGGCUGUAGUAGGUCCCAAGGGUUGGGCUGUUCGCCCAUUAAAGUGGUACGCGAGCUGGGUUCAGAACGUCGUGAGACAGUUCGGUCCCUAUCCGUCGCAGGCGUAGGAAAUUUGAGAAGACCUGUCCUUAGUACGAGAGGACCGGGAUGGACGUACCUCUGGUGUACCAGUUGUCCUGCCAAGGGCAUGGCUGGGUAGCUAUGUACGGAAUGGAUAAGCGCUGAAAGCAUCUAAGCGCGAAGCCAACUUCAAGAUAAGAUUUCCCACCGCAAGGGUAAGACCCCAGAAAGACUAUCUGGUUGAUAGGUCGAAGGUGUAAGUGCAGCAAUGUAUUUAGCUUAUCGAUACUAAUAGGUCGAGGACUUGACCAAU